This 92-nucleotide non-coding RNA is filed under the name Pseudomonas inefficax. The record is from RNAcentral. Lineage: Bacteria; Pseudomonadati; Pseudomonadota; Gammaproteobacteria; Pseudomonadales; Pseudomonadaceae.
UUCAAUGGUGGCUGCGUGCGGGUGGUCUUCGGGCCAGCCGGGAAUCGACCUCCAAGCCCGGUCUUGCAGGCCCGCAUGUAGCCGCCACCCUA